Molecule: long non-coding RNA, 11046 nt
Organism: Anolis carolinensis (green anole)
Lineage: Eukaryota; Metazoa; Chordata; Lepidosauria; Squamata; Anolidae
Exons: 3
Source: RefSeq, a predicted model, not a curated record
UGUUGCCAUGGCAACACCGUGACUCGCAUCCGUAUCCAAGGAGGUCCCCCCUCAUCCGGCAUCCCAAGGUUUCCCUCAAAAUCUUGUCGAAUGCCAAUGAACCAGGGCGAGAGGGGGCGAGAUUGAUGUGCACCCUGAAAUAGCACCAAAGCACGACAGUACAAAGGCAGGAGGGUCUGGAAUAGGAAUGAGAUGGAGGCGGUGGGGAAGGGAAUCCCCAUUCUCACAUCCACGGCGCAUGGGUCCGUCCAGACCCCUAACCUGAGCCAGAGACACCACGGAAGCCUGAGCUUGUCUUUGAGUGCCACUUGGCUGUGAUGUCUGGUGUGUUGUGUUUCAGAACUUUGUCAGUCUGGAUUCGGAAGUCCCUCAGUAUCUUUGCGUGCUCAUUUUCCAAUACUUUUGCAGAAACUCAAUCAACCGAAAGGAAAUCCUUCCUCGGCUCCAUCAUUCAAACACAGCGCAGAGAAAUGGUAUGUAAGGAAAGGUGACUCAUCCAUCUGUCAGAACUGUCUGAGUUUAUAGAUAGUGAAUAUUGGACUUUCCUAGAUUUCCAGCCCAAUUCAUUGAGUGUCCCCAAAUGGCCCUUCUUCUCUGGGACACCAUGAUUUAAUGAUUUCCAGCUUUUCCCAUUUUUCUCACCUCAAGUGCAUCCACACUGUAGAAUUAAUGCAGUUUAGCAUCACUUUAGCUGUCAUGGCUCAAUCCUACAGAAUCCUGAAAGUUAUAUAGAUUGACAAUUAUUUGGACGAGAAAGCUGAAGACAUGAUUCCAUGGCAUGGAGCCAUGGCAGUUAAAGCAGUAUCAAGCUGCAGUAAUUCUCCAGUCUAGAUGGUAAAAGGAUAAAGGUAAAGGUUUCCCUUGACGUUAAGUCCAGUUGUGACCGACUCUGGGGGUUGGUGCUCAUCUCCAUUUCUAAGCCGAAGAGCCGGCGUUGUCCGUAGACACCUCCUAGGUCAUGUGGCCACUGGCAUGACUGCAUGGAGCACCGUUACCUUCCUGCCGGAGGAGUACCUAUUGAUCUACUUACAUUGGCAUGUUUUAGAACUGCUAGGUUGGCAGGAGCUGGAGCUAACAGUGGGCACUCACUCCGCUCUCUGGAUUUGAAUCUGGGACCUUUCGGUCUGAAAGUUCAGCAGCUCAGCGCUUUAACACACUGAGCUACCGGAGGCUCGUUUUAUUCCAAGGGGGGUGGGGGUGGAAAUCCAAACUUUUUGAUGGACGCUUGAGAUUUUAGGAGGAGGAAUCUAACUGAACCGAAGAAAAAACAUUCCAAUAUUUUACCAAGGGAACAACGUGGCACAUAUAUAAUUGAUUGGUAUUUUGAGCCCACUCUUUUCCAUCUUUGGCCCUUUUGUCACCAGGACAUAAUUUCCCAAAAAUAUCUCCAAAAAUGAAUUCAGUGUGCAGGCAGAGACCUUCUGCCAACUUUGUCCAGUAUUUCAUUUUAUUGAUUUGAGACGUAGUGGAAUUCCCCACUCUUUUGCCUUUGCUUUUCCCUUUGAAACAUAAUAAUAAUAAUAAUAAUAAUAAUAAUAAUAAUAAGAAGAAGAAGAAGAAGAAGAAGAAGAAGAAGCCAUCAGAACAAACGCAAUUAAGGCCAAGAUUGAAAAAUCAGCUGAUGACCCAAAAUGCAGACUGUGCAAGGAAGCUGAUGAAACCAUUGAUCCUCAGCUACUGUAAGAAAAUCGCACAGACUGACUGCAAACAGAGGCACAACUAUGUGGCCCAAAUGAUUCAUUGGAACUUAUGCCUCAAGUAUCACCUGCCAGCAGUAAAGAACUGGUGGGAUCACAAACCUGCAAAGAUAAUGGAAAAUGAAAACGCAAAGAUACUGUGGGACUUCCAAAUCCAGACUGACAAAGUUCUGGAACACAACACACCAGACAUCACAGUUGUGGAAAAGGUUUGGAUCACUGAUGUUGCCAUCCCAGGUGACAGUCGCAUAGAUGAAAAAUAACAGGAAAAACUCAGCUGCUGUCAGGACCUCAAGAUUGAACUUCAAAGACUCUGGCAGGAACCAGUGCAGGUGGUCCCGGUGGUGAUGGGCACACUGGGUGCUGUGCCAAAAGAUCUCAGCUGGCAUUUGGAAACAAUAGACAUUGACAAAAUUACGAUCUGCCAACUGCAAAAGGCCACCCUACUGGGAUCUGCACGCAUCAUCUGAAAAUACAUCACACAGUCCUAGAUACUUGGGAAGUGUUUGACUUGUGAUUUUGUGAUACGAAAUCCAGCAUAUCUAUCUUGUUUGCUGUGUCAUACUAUGUCGUUGUGUCAAUAAUAAUAAUAAUAAUAAUAAUAAUAAUAAUUCAACUUGUGUUUGACUUGUGAUUUUGUGAUACGAAAUCCAGCAUAUCUAUCUUGUUUGCUGUGUCAUACUAUGUUGCUGUGUCAAUAAUAAUAAUAAUAAUAAUAAUUAUUCAACUUGUGUUCGACUUGUGAUUUUGUGAUACGAAAUCCAGCAUAUCUAUCUUGUUUGCUGUGUCAUACUAUGUUGCUGUGUCAAUAAUAAUAAUAAUAAUAAUUCAACUUGUGUUCGACUUGUGAUUUUGUGAUACGAAAUCCAGCAUAUCUAUCUUGUUUGCUGUGUCAUACUAUGUUGCUGUGUCAAUAAUAAUAAUAAUAAUAAUAAUAAUAAUAAUAAUUUGCUCCAUUUAAAAUAGUGGCUCCAAACCUUCUUUUUUUUGCGUUAAUCUAAAAAUAAACUUUAAUCAAAAACUUUUAACAUAUUCAUUAAACUUAAUAGUAAUAUGAAUUAAGAGUACUGUACUAUUAUAGUUCUGGGUUGCCAGACUAUAAGAAAGAAAAGGGAAUUUCAGUAAACUUGGUGUUUCCUCUUCAUUUUUGCAACCCAGAGAUAAGCCAUCCUAUAACAAACCCUCAGUAGUGUGGAGAGAAAUGCGAAUUCUUCCACUUUUCUUUCUCCUCGGUCCUAAAGCAGCAUGCAUAAAAAUAUUAUCUAAUUGGAAAAUAAAUUACAAUAAUGGCCUCCUUUGAAAAGAAAAUCUUUUGUCACUUACUUGACUAAAGAAAUGUCCUUUCCUAAUAGAACUUGCAUUUGUUCCUCAGGCUUUUUACAUGCAGAUUUGCCAGGCUCUGCCCACCCCCUUCCCCCCCUCACGGCAGUCAGCAGGAAAAGAAGAGGAAACUUAUUUAUUGGGGCUGGAAAGAUGCUCAGAAUGAUUUCUCGCUUCUCCUGAAAACACACAUCUGUUUCUACGGAAACCGCUUCCUCGGUGCCCUUUUAGAAUUACCAAUUUCGCUGCCACACAGGGCUCCGCAGAUCCCUGUGCUGAAUGGAAAGGAAGCAAAAGCAAACAAAGAGCCAUUUCAAGGAUACCCUAUCAUCUAUCUGUCUAUCUAUCUAUCUAUCUAUCUAUCUAUCUAUCUAUCUAUCUAUCUAUCUAUCUAUCUAUCUAUCUAUCUAUCUAUCUAUCCAUCCAUCCAUCCAUCCAUCCAUCCAUCCAUCCAUCCAUCCAUCCAUCCAUCAUCUCUAUCUAUCUAUCUAUCUAUCUAUCUAUCUAUCUAUCUAUCUAUCUAUCUAUCUAUCUAUCUAUCUAUCUAUCUAUCAUCUAGAAUCAUAGAAUCAUAGAAUAGUAGAGUUGGAAGAGACCUCAUGGGCCAUCCAGUCCAACCCCCUGCUAAGAAGCAGGAAAUCGCAUUCAAAGCACCCCCGACAGAUGGCCAUCCAGCCUCUGCUUAAAAGCCUCCAAAGAAGGAGCCUCCACCACGGCCCCGGGGAGAGAGUUCCACUGUCGAACAGCCCUUCUCACAGUCAGGAAGUUCUUCCUGAUGUUCAGGUGGAAUCUCCUUUCCUGUAGUUGAAGCCAUUGUUCCAUUGCGUCCUAGUCUGCAGGGCAGCAGAAAACAAGCUCCCUCCCUCCUCCCUAUGACUUCCCUCCACGUAUUUGUACAUGGCUCUCAUGUCUCCUCUCAGCCUUCUCUUCUGCAGGCUAAACAUGCCCAGCUCUUUAAGCCGCUCCUCAUAGGGCUUGUUCUCCAGACCCUUAAUCAUUUUAGUCGCCCUCCUCUGGACGCUUUCCAGCUUGUCAACAUCUCCCUUCAACUGCGGUGCCCAGAAUGGGACCCAGUGUGAUUCCAGGUGUGGUCUGACCAAGGCAGAAUAGAAUAAGGGGGAGCAGGACUUCCCUGGAUCUAGACGCUCUUCCCCUAUUGAUGCAGGACAGAAUCCCGUUGGCUUUUUUAGCUGCUGCAUCACAUUGUUGGCUCAUGUUCAACUUCCUCCCCACGAGGACUCCAAGAUCUUUUUCGCACACACUGCUGUCAAGCCAGGCAUCGUCCCCCAUUCUGUAUCUUUGAUUCCCAUUUUUUCUGCCGAAAUGAAGUAUCUUGCAUUCGUCCCUGUUGAACUUCAUUUUGUGAGUUUCGGCCCAUCUCUCUAGUCUGUCAAGAUCGUUUUGAAUUCUGCUCCUGUCUUCUGGAGUGUUGGCUCUCCCUCCCAGUUUGGUGUCGUCUGCAAACUUGAUGAUCGUGCCUUCUGACCCUUCGUCUAAGUCGUUAAUAAAGAUGUUGAACAGAACCGGGCCCAGGACGGAGCCCUGCUGAUGGCACUCCACUCGUGGCUUCUUUCCAAGAUGAAGACGACGCAUUGGUGAGCACCCUUUGGGUUCGUUCGCUUAGCCAAUUACAGAUCCACCUAACCAUAGUUUUGUCUAGCCCACAUUUUACUAGUUUGUUUGCCGGAAGGUCGUGGGGGACUUUGUCGAAGGCCUUACUGAAAUCCAGGUAGGCUACAUCCACAGCAUUCCCUGUAUCGACCCAACUCGUAACUCUAUCGAAAAGUUACUCUAUCUAUCUAUAUCUAUUCAUCUAUCCAUCCAUCCAUCCAUCAUCUCUAUCUAUCUAUCUAUCUAUCUAUCAUCUAUCUAUCAUCUAUCUUUAUCUAUCCAUCUAACCUUCCUUCCUUCCUUCCAUCCAUCCAUCCAUCCAUCUAUCAUCUCUAUCUAUCAUCUAUCUAACAUCUAUCUAUCUAUAUCUAUCCUUCCUUCCUUCCUUCCUUCCAUCCAUCCAUCCAUCAUAUCUAUCUAUCUAUCUAUCUAUCUAUCUAUCUAUCUAUCUAUCUAUCAUCUAUCUAUAUCUAUCUAUCCAUCCAUCCAUCCAUCCAUCCAUCCAUCCAUCUAUCAUCUCUAUCCAUCCUUCCUUCCUUCCUUCCUUCCUUCCUUCCUUCCUUCCUUCCUUCCUUCCUUCCUUCCUUCCAUUUAUCAUCUCUAUCUAUAUCUAUCUAUCUAUCUAUCUAUCUAUCUAUCUAUCUAUCUAUCUAUCUAUCCAUCCAUCCAUCCAUCAUCUCUAUCUAUCCAUCCUUCCUUCCUUCCUUCCUUCCUUCCUUCCUUCCAUCCAUCCAUCAUAUCUAUUUAUCAUCUAUCUAUCUAUCUAUCUAUCUAUCUAUCUAUCUAUCUAUCUAUCAAUCAUCUAUCUAUAUCUAUCAUCUGUCUCUAUCUCUAUCUAUCUAUCAUCUAUCUAUCUUUUCAUUUACUAUUUAGCUCACUAUCAUUUCACUUACCUACUUCAUUUUCUAUCUAGCUCACUCUCUAUGUAAAGGUAAAGGUUUCUCCUGACGUUAAGUCCAGUCGUGUCUGACUCUGGGGGUUGGUGCUCAUUAUUUCUGAAAUUUACCACCCUCAGCUUAUACUGGAGUCAAUGUUUUCCCAGUUUUUUUGUGAUAAAAUCAGGUGCUUCGGCUUAUAUUUGAGUCGGCUUAUACUCUAGUAUAUACGGUAUAUAUCUAUCUACCUAUCUACCUCUAUUAUCUAUCUAAUCUAUGCACAUAGAUCUUUCUAUUCUCAAUCUCUUUCUAAUCUAACUUUGUUAUCUCAAUUCAUCUGCUUCAGCAAUCCAGCUCUAUAAUCUCUCUCAACUGCUUAUUGGUUUAUCUAUAAUCUCUAUCUAUCCAUGCAUUCCUAAUCUAAUCUGCCCUUUAAUGUAAUUCAUUUCGAAAUGAUCCCUCUCCAAAGUCAUUUAGGUUGGAGCCAUAUGGUUCUUUCUUUCCUUUAUCUUUCACACAGGAAGAAGAGAGCGAAGGAAGGAAGGAAGGAAGGAAGGAAGGAAGGAAGGAAGGAAGGAAGGAAGGAAGGAAGGAAGGAAGGAAGGAAGGAAGGAAGGAAGGAAGGAAACAUUGUCUCUGUUUAGCCCAAUGAUGGGCAACCUUUUGCUCUUGGUGUGUCAAAAUUCACAAAAAAAACCUAGCAUGAUUUGGGUGGUGUGUCACUUUGAGAAAAAAACCCCAUAAUUUUGCAAUAUGUAUAGUUUAAAUAACAAAAAUAUAUAAUUGUAAUAUAUAACUGUAUUCAAUAAAUCAAAAACUAUUUACUACCAUUAUUUCCAUGUACAACAAUCUAUGGUACCUCUUGCAGCUUCCACACUGAUUUCUCUCUAUUCUAGUUUCAACGUAGUCAUGAAUAAUAAAUAAUAUAAUAAUAUACUAGUAAUAAUAUAAUAUACUACAAUAAUAAUAGAAUAAUAAUAGAAUGAUAUAAUCUAUAUGUAUAAAAUAGUGAUGGCAUCAGGGCAGCAGACAAAACAACAACACAACCCACCCAUAAUAAAUAAUAUAAUAAUAUACUAGUAAUAAUAUAAUAUAAUAUACUACAAUAAUAAUAGAAUAAUAAUAUAAUGAUAUAAUCUAUAUAUAUAAAAGAGUGAUGGCAUCAGGGCAGUGGACAAAACAACAAAACUACACGCCCCCCAACCUCAAAAUUUGACAACACAACCCAUCAUCCAUGGCUCUAGGUUGAUACAACAAAAAGAAAAUAAAAAUAAAAUCCUAAUUAGAGGUAGAGGAAUAAUUGUUUUUAUUUAAUUGCUGCCAGUUACAAGGCUAAGUUCCACCCACUUGGUCUCCUAGCAACCUACUCAGCCCAGGGGACAGGCACAAGAGUUUGGAGAGACCCCUAAGGGCCAUCCAGCCCAACCCUUUCUACUAUGCAGCAGGACACAAUCCAAGCAUUCACAACACAUGGACAACGUAUAAAUACUAUACAAUACUACACAGGGACAUAGACCCCCCUCUAUCCUCACCACUUUCACAGUACACAAACAACCAAAUGCAUACUAAACAUAAAGGCAACCAUACAACAGACAUUCAAUACCACCACUACCUCAACAAGUUCUCACCAACACCACCAGACAAUGCCACAGCAAUGCGUGGCCGGGCAUAGUUAGUAAUAUAAUAAUAUACUAGUAAUCAUAUAAUAUACUACAAUAAUAAUAGAAUAAUAAUAGAAUGAUAUAAUUAUAUAUAUGUGUGUGUAAUGUGCAUAAUUCCCAUGGAGUAAACAACAAAACCACUGGACCAAAUCACACCAAAUUUGGCCACAAAAGACAUAGUCAUCCAAUCAAUCUGCAUGCGGCAGCGUGUCAGCCAAAAUGGCUAGGCGUGUCAGUGCUGACACGCGUGUCAUAGGUUGGCCAUCACUGGUUUAACCCUUUGUCGAUGGGCAAGAGUCUGUGGAUAGAUCCCAAUGCUGCUGUUUGAUCCCAAUUCAACUGCCAUGGCUGAAUGGUAUGGAAUCUUGGGAACAGGUUCAUCAGCCUCCCUGCCAAGGAGUUCUGGUGCCACACCAAACUACAGAUCCCAGUGUAGACGCACCUAGAGUGGCCUUCUGUUGGUACCAAAACCACUGUGUCCCUGGCUCGCCCCAUGCAUUGUGCAGCCUCUUUUUGAAGCCGCUGCCCAGCUGCAAGGCUGCUGUUUCAGUGCCUAAACACAAUCCCCUUCAACAGGAGACCGGCGUCUAAUCCACGCUGGGAUUUGACUGUGUCUCUAAGCAACGGCAAAGAUGGAUUUACCAAUGCUCCGUAUAAUGGCUUGUAUCCACCGCGCAGAUGACCCACUGUCCUCAAACAUUGCCUUUGACAGAAGGUGUGGAAGAUUUAGGAGCUGGGAGGGAUUUUUCCCUUUCCCUUCCUCUCUCUUUUAAACUAUCCGCCUAGUACUACUACUACUAGGCAACAGUAUUACUGCCUGGAAGGAACUGUAAUAAUAAUAAUAAUAAUAAUAAUAAUAAUAAUAAUAAUAAUAAUAAUAAUAAGGAGAAGACCUGGCUCUGGCUCACGAAUGGGACCCUGAAGAAGGAGACAGAAGGCCCAAUCCUUGCAGCCCAGGAGCAAGACAUCAGAACAAAGGCAAUUAAGGCCAAGGUCGAAAAAUCAGCUGAUGACCCAAAAUGCAGACUGUGCAAGGAAACCGACGAAACCAUUGAUCAUCUCCUCAGCUGCUGCAAGAAAAUUGCACAGACAGACUACAAACAGAGGCACAACUAUGUGGCCCAAAUGAUUCAUUGGAAUUUAUGCCUCAAGUACCACCUGCCAGCAGCAAAGAACUGGUGGGAUCACAAACCUGCAAAAGUAUUGGAAAAUGAGCACGCAAAGAUACUGUGGGACUUCCGAAUCCAGACUGACAAAGUUCUGGAACACAACACACCAGACAUCACAGUUGUGGAAAAGAAAAAGGUUUGGAUCAUUGAUGUUGCCAUCCCAGGUGACAGUCGCAUUGACGAAAAACAACAGGAAAAACUCAGCCGCUAUCAGGACUUCAAGAUUGAACUUCAAAGACUCUGGCAGAAACCAGUACAAGUGGUCCCGGUGGUGAUGGGCACAUUGGGUGCCGUGCCAAAAUAUCUCAGCUGGCAUUUGGAAACAAUAGACAUUGACAAAAAAUGUGAUCUGCCAGCUGCAAAAGGCCACCCUGCUGGGAUCUGCACGCAUCAUCCGGAAAUGCAUCACACAGUCCUAGACACUUGGGAAGUGUUCGACUUGUGAUUUUGUGAUAUGAAAUCCAGCAUAUCUAUCUUGUUUGCUGUGUCAUAAUAAAAUAAUAAUUAAUAAUAAUAAAAAUAAUAAUAAAACUUUAUUUAUACCCCGCCACCAUCUCCCCAACGGGGACUCGGGGCGGCUUACAUGGGGCCAUGCCCAAAACAAUACAAUAUAAACAGCAUAUAAAAGAACAACACAUCACAACACAAUAAGCAAUACAAUAAAUAAUAAUAUCCAUUACAAAAUAAAUCAAGGAAACAAUGAAAAACAAGGGUGGACCACAUGAACAUUAAGUUAAAACUCGGGGUGAGAGAGACAUAAGAAUAAAAAAACACAGCAAACAGGGUCAUAAGGAAGUGGGGUAGUCUGGAGGAUAGAUAUUAGAGGGAGCAACGGAAAAGAAAUAUAAAAUAGUUACUCUCCAAAAGCACAACGGAAGAGCCAUGUUGUAGCCUAAAUGUAGAUGCUUUCAGGGUCUCAGUGCAAAAUUUUAUAUAUAUAUAUAUAUAUAUAUAUAUAUAUAUAUAUAUAUAUAUAUAUAUAUAAAAAUAACAGUAUUUAUAUUCUGCCCUUCUCACCCCGAAGGGUACUCAGGGCAGAUUACAUUAUAUACAUAUAGGGCAAACAUUCAAUGCCCAUAUACACAUAGAACCGAGACAGAGACAGACGCAGAGGCAAUUUUAACCUUCUCCUAGGAGCCUAGGGGAUAAAAGCCUUGUGACUUGAAGGUUGGGUUGCUGACCAGAAGGCUGCCAGGUUCGAAUCCCACCAAAGGAGAACGCGGAUGAGCUCCCUCUCUCAGCUCCAGCUCCAUGCGGGGACACGAAAGAAGCCUCCCACAAGGAUGAUAAAAACAUUAAAACAUCCGGGCCUCCCCUGGGCAAUGUCCUUGCAGACGGCCAAUUCUCUCACUCCAGAAGCAACUCCGGUUGCUCCUGACAUAUAAAAACAAAAACCAAAAAAUACCCCCUUCUCCUGAGGGAUGUUCGAGUCUGGCCACAGAGUGGAGCAGCUGCUUCAUCAUCCACUGUGACGGCAUUUCCUCAUUCCAUCUAUAGCUUCUCUGUGGCUGCUAUGUCCCCAAAAUUCUGGAAAUCCUCUGAUGUCCCUGACAUUUACACGUUCUUUCGCCUUCUCUGCCAAACAACUCUGCUGCCUCACCAAACUACAAACCCAGGGGAUCUGUGGGAUGGAGCUAAAGUGAGGCCAAAUUGUGUUGUCUAAUGGCACAGUGUGUUAAAGCGCUGAGCUGCUGAGCUUGCAGACCAAAAGGUCCCAGGUUCAAAUCCCAGCAGCGGAAUGAGCGCCCGCUGUUAGCCCCAGCUCCUGCCAACCUAGCAGUUCGAAAACAUGCCAAUGUGAGUAGAUCAAUAGGUACCGCUCCGGAGGGAAGGUAAUGGUGCUCCAUGCAGUCAUGCCUAUGUCCACAUGACCUUGGAGAUGUCUACGGACAAUGCCGGCUCUUCGGCUUAGAAAUGGAGAUGAGCACCAACCCCAGAGUCGGUCACGACUGGACUUAACGUCAGGGGAAACCUUUACCUUACCUAAGGCUUUCAUGGCUGCUUCCAACCUGGAGGAAUCCUUUGUUGGGAGGUGUCAUGGUGGGAGAAAGCACUCUUGUCUGCCUGGGGCAUGUUUAGAUGUCGCAGCCAGGCUUUGAAGCUGCAAGGCUAUUCAAUGCUUAUCAAGCUGGCCAAUUGCCACAUUCACACUUUCCUCAGGCAGACAAGGUUCUGUCACCCACCCUGGGUAUUCCACACAUAUAUAAAUUUCACUUAACAAGUUUCAUACAGUCCUGAAAACCUCUGAGGAUGCCUGCCAUAGAUGUGGGUGAAACAUCAGGAGAGAAUGCUUCUGGAACAUGGCCAUACAGCUCAGAGAACUCACAGGAACCCUGAGGGCAAAUUUGUGAACAUUUGUAAAGAGACACUGUGAUAUAAUGGGUUGUCUGGAAAGGCAUGUGUCGACAGCUGAUUGGGUGAGCCAGCCAGGAGCCAGAAUUCCGAUUGGCCACUGUCUCUAGCUUGCUGCUGAGACAAAUGGUUUUCUCACCUCAGAGAGUGCUGACUGGAAACAGGAAGGAAAUGGCUGCCAGCUCUUUGGAUAUAUUCUAGUUGCUGGGACUUUGGCUUCCUUUGAAAGGACCUUGUUUCAUGCCUAUGCUUCUAUGGAUUUGAUGAUUACCGCCUUGUUUUGUAACUAUAUUUUGGAACUGAACUUUUACCUUUUAUGAACUAUAUUUCUGCCUAUUUCUUAAUAAACUACAAAAGACUA